CUGGGAGCGAACACUUUCUGUUGACCGCAUCACGCUGCAUUAACGCAAUUAUUCUACUCACCAGACCAGGUUCAGCCAACUCACCUUUGACAGUGAGCUGAGCAGUGGAACGACUCUUGCCAGCUACAAAGAGCACGGGGCCCGACAUGGAGCUUUCUGUGGAGGUGUAGGUGUCCUCAUCUGAAGAGCAGACGUUGUCGAUGGUCAGCUGCCUGUAGACAUCUUGGCUGAUCAGUUGGUAUUUUUUACUGGGCAGGAGCUCCUUCCUGUUCUUGUACCACCGGACCUGAGCAUUAGGCCGUGACACCUGGCACUCCAG
Molecule: long non-coding RNA, 319 nt
Filed under: Sander lucioperca (pikeperch)
Lineage: Eukaryota; Metazoa; Chordata; Actinopteri; Perciformes; Percidae
Description: lncRNA (ENSSLUG00000019409.1)
Source: RNAcentral